UUAGAGAUCUUCUACCGGUUUCAGAAAAUAUAAUCAUCAAUGGUUUACAUCAAUUAACUUUGAUUUUUCUAUCUCAAACGUAUAGAAUCACUUGAGUUGCAGAUAGAUAGGAUCUUGACAUUUACAAUCUUGUCAAAGUAGAUCACUUCGAGAUUGCAGUUUUGCUAUUAAUGAUCUUCCGCAAUACCUAAUCACAAACAUUUAAGAUUGUCAAGUUAUUUGUCUUCCCAUAUUUCUAUACUCUUACAGGGUUAAUUGAGACUAACCUUUGUGUCGUUUUUAUGUGUUUCACCAAAGUGUGGUGAGCUUGUUUAGUCUUGGACAUUGAUUGUGUCUUUGGCAUCCAUAUAUAUCCACAGAGACAAAUCGUCAUUCCAUAUAUCCACAUUGAUCUGAGCAUUUUCUUCAUUCAAUUUGAAACAUGGGACUCCCAUGAUGGGAGAUAUGCAUGAUACCACUUACUUCGAUUCUUACAUCAAUUUGCAACCUAAUACAAAGCUUGAAUUUCAUCAAACACAAUCGUAACCGACCAGAUCAACAAAGAUGGAACAACUCGUGCUCAAGAACAUAGAAUAACAGAAAAUGCCGUAGAUGGUUAGAUAAAACCACUAGUCAGUUAAGGAUAAGGAUAGAUCCUAGUGUAGGCCACAUCAAUAUCUUUGAAGGACAAGAACAUAGAAUAAUAGAGAAGAGAAGAUGAACUCACUAAGUUACGAGUUAAUUAAGAUCAAUCGGUGUGAUUGAUCCUGUACGUCUUGGCCAUAACGGAAAUCAUCUUAGCUUUACAAGUUCAUCAAAGAACUCCAUAACCCCUGAGGUUCAUGUAUGGCGGCUAAAAAAUCUACCGUAC
Molecule: long non-coding RNA, 850 nt
Filed under: Capsella grandiflora
Lineage: Eukaryota; Viridiplantae; Streptophyta; Magnoliopsida; Brassicales; Brassicaceae
Description: long non-coding RNA (CGRA_LNC001099)
Source: RNAcentral